RNAcentral lists this long non-coding RNA (458 nucleotides) under Hordeum vulgare. RNAcentral describes it as "long non-coding RNA (HVUL_LNC000966)". The record is from RNAcentral. Lineage: Eukaryota; Viridiplantae; Streptophyta; Magnoliopsida; Poales; Poaceae.
UGGCUCCCCUUUGUGUCAAGAUCUGCAGCAGCAUCGCAGUGGUAGGACCUCCUCUGCUUCUCCGAGAUGUGUCGGUUUUGAUCCCCCCGAGUCCCCUUUUCCCUUUCCCUUUGUUUAUUUGGGUUACACUCACAGUGGGCCUUGGAACCACUUGUCACGCUCGCAAGUCGAAGUGCCAUCGCUAGUGGACCCCACCGUUUAAUUUGUUUGUUUUAUUUUAUUUGCCUCGUCUAUUUUUCCUUGAUUAUCCAUUUAUGGCAAGUUUCAAAUCUGGCAGUAUCCUUUUGUGUCUUUUCCCAAUUGAGGUAAGUCCAAAUCUGGACAUUUCCAACUAUGGACAUGCAAUUUCAGUGAGAGGCCAUUUUAGGCAGGUUUUGACUUAGGCAUUUGUGGACAUUUUGCAUACAACAUCGUAUGCAUAUUAUAUAUGUUUUUGGGGUAGAAAAAUCCGUAGAAAC